RNAcentral lists this long non-coding RNA (685 nucleotides) under Salmo salar (Atlantic salmon). RNAcentral's name for it is "lncRNA (ENSSSAG00000094468.1)". The record is from RNAcentral. Lineage: Eukaryota; Metazoa; Chordata; Actinopteri; Salmoniformes; Salmonidae.
CUGGACUAGAGUGUGGACCAGAGACAGGAGCAGUUGGAGGCCACGGAAGAAGAGUUGCACGGCAUCGAAGCUCGUCUGGAGGGCUGUCAACACAGUGUCCAAAGAAGGGCCAGAAGUAUACAGAAUGGUGUCGUCUGCGUAGAGGUGGAUCAGAGACUCACCUAUGACCUAGAGGCUCACUCCCCCCAGUGAACUUGUCCAGGCGUGUGGUCAAUAAGGGGUUUUACUUGAGAUGGGAGUAUUUGGAGUUGACAAUUGAUUUAUGCCAUAGAAUGAAUUGGUGUUUCUGUGCUAUGAAGUACCAGGAACGAGAUCGGAGCCUCGUCUUAGGGGCCAGACUAAACAACAAGAACAGUCUUCAUCGCAAACGCUAUCUGGCUGCGGGAUACUCCUUUUUCAUAUAUCAAGUUUCACCUUGUGACCCAUUCUAUACAUCUGUUGUUUGUCAUGAAGACUAAAAGGGCGUAUCUUUUCUAUAAAAGAUAUUUGUAUUCUUCGUAUGUCAGAGCUACUCGUCACAACACUUGGAAGUGUUGAGCCGACCAGCCUCAUCAUUAUAGAAGCAAUUGCUCUAUGCUUUCCUUAUUAAUAAGUUUUGAAUAAAGUAAUAUCCUGAUUGGUGAUUGACCUUGUCUCUCCUCAUUAUUGAUUAGAAUUUAGAGGUCCUUAGAUCAAUUAUCAGUGA